This 440-nucleotide ribosomal RNA is filed under the name uncultured bacterium. Its description in RNAcentral is "partial 16S ribosomal RNA". It matches the Rfam family "Bacterial small subunit ribosomal RNA", at positions 338 to 795 of the family's 1533-position model. The record is from RNAcentral.
CCUACGGGUGGCAGCAGUAGGGAAUAUUGCUCAAUGGGGGAAACCCUGAAGCAGCAACGCCGCGUGGAGGAUGAAGGUUUUCGGAUUGUAAACUCCUUUUGUUAGAGAAGAUAAUGACGGUAUCUAACGAAUAAGCACCGGCUAACUCCGUGCCAGCAGCCGCGGUAAUAAGGAGGGUGCAAGCGUUAUUCGGAAGCACUGGGCGUAAAGAGCGCGUAGGCGGGAUAGCAAGUCAGGUGUGAAAUCCUAUGGCUUAACCAUAGAACUGCAUUUGAAACUGUUAUUCUAGAGUAUGGGAGAGGUAGGUGGAAUGCUUGGUGUAGGGGUAAAAUCCGUAGAGAUCAAGAGGAAUACUCAUUGCGAAGGCGACCUGCUAGAACAUAACUGACGCUGAUGCGCGAAAGCGUGGGGAGCGAACAGGAUUAGAUACCCUUGUAGUC